This 535-nucleotide ribosomal RNA is filed under the name uncultured bacterium. RNAcentral describes it as "bacterial SSU rRNA". It matches the Rfam family "Bacterial small subunit ribosomal RNA", at positions 355 to 899 of the family's 1533-position model. The record is from RNAcentral.
UGGGGAAUAUUGCACAAUGGGCGGAAGCCUGAUGCAGCAACGCCGCGUGCGGGAUGACGGCCUUCGGGUUGUAAACCGCUUUCGCCUGUGACGAAGCGUGAGUGACGGUAAUGGGUAAAGAAGCACCGGCCAACUACGUGCCAGCAGCCGCGGUGAUACGUAGGGUGCGAGCGUUGUCCGGAUUUAUUGGGCGUAAAGGGCUCGUAGGUGGUUGAUCGCGUCGGAAGUGUAAUCUUGGGGCUUAACCCUGAGCGUGCUUUCGAUACGGGUUGACUUGAGGAAGGUAGGGGAGAAUGGAAUUCCUGGUGGAGCGGUGGAAUGCGCAGAUAUCAGGAGGAACACCAGUGGCGAAGGCGGUUCUCUGGGCCUUUCCUGACGCUGAGGAGCGAAAGCGUGGGGAGCGAACAGGCUUAGAUACCCUGGUAGUCCACGCUGUAAACGGUGGGGUAUUAGGUGUGGGGUCCAUUCCACGGGUUCCGUGCCGUUAGCUAACGCUUUAAGUACNCGCCUGGGGAGUACGGCCGCAAGGCUAAAA